GUGAAUCAUCAAAUCUUUGAACGCAUAUUGCACUCUCUGGUAUUCCGGAGAGUAUGCCUGUUUGAGGGUCAGUUAAAUAAAAAUCGGGGUUUUUGCCACCUUUGGUGGUGACGCUUCGGAAUUGGGUCGUCUUUACCUUUCGGUUAAGUGACUUAAAAUUUUUGGAAGGUAAUUGGAGAAGGAAUUAAAAUUAAUUGGGAAGGUUUGGAA
RNAcentral lists this unclassified non-coding RNA (210 nucleotides) under Glomeromycotina sp. RNAcentral describes it as "partial contains 5.8S ribosomal RNA and internal transcribed spacer 2". The stretch from base 1 to 71 matches the Rfam family "5.8S ribosomal RNA", at positions 84 to 154 of the family's 154-position model. The record is from RNAcentral. Lineage: Eukaryota; Fungi; Glomeromycota.